CCCAGAUGUCCACCCUGCCUUUUCCCUGACUUCCUCCAUCCUGUCCAGCAGGAUGGGCUGGUCAGUGGGACAGCCUCUGUGCACAUUUUGUGGCAAGUAGGAGUGACACAUCAUUCCUGGGAGGCCCCGUGGUUCCUGCCAAACCCAACCCCAGAAUUCUCCCUGAGGUGGUUUUACCAAACCCAUAACCCAGAACUGCUAUUGUGGUUUGGGGGUCAGCACCCACCAGUGCCAGGGCACUACUGGGAGGCUGGGACCUGACCAAAGCCCAUGGUGUCUGUGGCCUGAGGACAGGGUGUCUUGGGGCCAUGAGGACAGGCCACCAAUGGCCGUUGGGUCAUAGGGCCUGAGCCCCAGUGUUUGUCCUUCCCUGGCUCCUUCUGGUUCAGUCCCAUCAGGGCUCUGGAUCCCAAGACGCAGCAUCCAAUGUUCCCUCCAGGAAUCCUGGUGGCUUGGCUUACUUUGUCAUGUUUCAUCUGAUAGCAAAAAUAUCAGAUCGGCUGCACAGAAAAAAUGGCUCAAAGUGCUUAAUGACCAGAAGAAAUCUAGGAGCAGCAAGAAGAUGCCUCAGCUGCUCUACAAGGGAGUCCCAUUUCAGGUGUGGGGCUGGGUAUGGUCAUUCCUGCUGGAUGUCUAGAAGGUGAAAAACAAGGACCUAGGAAAAUACCAGAUACAGCAUUUCCACCGUCAUCCAGAGCAGGACAAACACGCCAGGUGGUGUCAGGAGCCUAGGUCUCCAGCUGGAGGGAACGUCAACCCUGCAGUGGGAGCCCAUCAUGCAUCCUAGGCACAGAUGCUAAUGUAGGCACCGCAGACCAUAAAGGAAAACAGCAAGAGGUCCCCAGCAAACAUCUACAGAUGGCCCUGGACAUCAGCCACAUUCGGAGAAACAUGUCAUGUUCUGGGAGGGCUAAGGCAUCGAGUAAGGCCUAUGGGGCUGGAGGAUCCCAGGGCAGGUGGGGCAAUCCAGAGCUGUGGGGGCUUCUGUGGGAAUUGGGAGGUCCCAAGGCAGAGGUAGGGGUUCCACAGGAGGAGUCACAGAGCCACCAAGGGUUCUCUUGGCCCAGGGAGCAGUCAACACCAUGGACUGAACACCCACUGGGCUAAGCCCUGGGCCAGGCUGGGGCAUGUGGGGCCAGGAGGCAGCUCAGAGUGGGAGACAGAGAGACAAGUGUGCUCAGAGGGCACCCGUAUCUGCAUAUAACGUGGUCCUGAGUUUCUGCCUGGGAAGUGCUUCCAGGGUUUCAUAUG
RNAcentral lists this long non-coding RNA (1251 nucleotides) under Pan troglodytes (chimpanzee). Its description in RNAcentral is "long non-coding RNA NONPTRT017485". Lineage: Eukaryota; Metazoa; Chordata; Mammalia; Primates; Hominidae. The record is from RNAcentral.